This 395-nucleotide ribosomal RNA is filed under the name uncultured bacterium. RNAcentral's name for it is "partial 16S ribosomal RNA". It matches the Rfam family "Bacterial small subunit ribosomal RNA", at positions 360 to 773 of the family's 1533-position model. The record is from RNAcentral.
AAUAUUGCACAAUGGAGGGAACUCUGAUGCAGCGACGCCGCGUGAGUGAAGAAGGUCUUCGGAUCGUAACACUCUGUCCUUGGUGAAGAUACUGACGGUAGCCAAGGAUGAAGGCCCGGCUAACUACGUGCCAGCAGCCGCGGUAAUACGUAGGGGGCGAGCGUUGUCCGGAUUUACUGGGCGUAAAGGGUGAGUAGGCGGUUAUAUAUGUCAGGUGUAAAAGGCUAUGGCUUAACCAUAGUUAGCACUUGAAACUGUAUGACUUGAGUGCAGGAGAGGUAAGCGGAAUUCCUAGUGUAGCGGUGAAAUGCGUAGAUAUUAGGAGGAACACCAGUGGCGAAGGCGGCUUACUGGACUGUAACUGACGCUGAGUCACGAAAGCGUGGGUAGCAAAC